AGCCCGCUCAGAACUUAAAUGAAUUGACGGGGCCCGCACAAGCGGCGGAGCAUGUGGAUUAAUUCGAUGCAACGCGAAGAACCUUACCUGGGUUUGACAUAUACCGGAAAGCUGCAGAGAUGUGGCCCCCCUUGUGGUCGGUAUACAGGUGGUGCAUGGCUGUCGUCAGCUCGUGUCGUGAGAUGUGGGUUAAGUCCCGCAACGAGCGCAACCCUAUCUUAUGUUGCCAGCACGUUAUGGUGGGGACUCGUAAGAGACUGCCGGGGUCAACUCGGAGGAAGGUGGGGACGACGUCAAGUCAUCAUGCCCCUUAUGUCCAGGGCUUCACACAUGCUACAAUGGCCAGUACAGAGGGCUGCGAGACCGUGAGGUGGAGCGAAUCCCUUAAAGCUGGUCUCAGUUCGGAUCGGGGUCUGCAACUCGACCCCGUGAAGUCGGAGUCGCUAGUAAUCGCAGAUCAGCAACGCUGCGGUGAAUACGUUCCCGGGCCUU
Molecule: ribosomal RNA, 492 nt
Filed under: uncultured Rhodococcus sp.
Lineage: Bacteria; Bacillati; Actinomycetota; Actinomycetes; Mycobacteriales; Nocardiaceae
Description: bacterial SSU rRNA
Rfam family: Bacterial small subunit ribosomal RNA
Source: RNAcentral